UACGUAGGGUGCGAGCGUUGUCCGGAAUUAUUGGGCGUGAAGAGCUUGUAGGCGGUUUGUCGCGUCUGCCGUGAAAAUCCGGGGCUCAACCCCGGACUUGCGGUGGGUACGGGCAGACUAGAGUGUGGUAGGGGAGACUGGAAUUCCUGGUGUAGCGGUGAAAUGCGCAGAUAUCAGGAGGAACACCGAUGGCGAAGGCAGGUCUCUGGGCCACUACUGACGCUGAGAAGCGAAAGCGUGGGGAGCGAACAGG
Molecule: ribosomal RNA, 253 nt
Filed under: uncultured bacterium
Lineage: Bacteria
Description: partial 16S ribosomal RNA
Rfam family: Bacterial small subunit ribosomal RNA
Source: RNAcentral